AUGGCGACCGGCGCACGAGUGAGUAACACGUAUCCAACCUGCCGAUAACUCGGGGAUAGCCUUUCGAAAGAAAGAUUAAUACCCGAUGGCAUAAUUAGACCGCAUGGUCUUAUUAUUAAAGAAUUUCGGUUAUCGAUGGGGAUGCGUUCCAUUAGGCAGUUGGUGAGGUAACGGCUCACCAAACCUUCGAUGGAUAGGGGUUCUGAGAGGAAGGUCCCCCACAUUGGAACUGAGACACGGUCCAA
RNAcentral lists this ribosomal RNA (245 nucleotides) under uncultured bacterium. Its description in RNAcentral is "partial 16S ribosomal RNA". It matches the Rfam family "Bacterial small subunit ribosomal RNA", at positions 88 to 334 of the family's 1533-position model. The record is from RNAcentral.